RNAcentral lists this ribosomal RNA (492 nucleotides) under uncultured bacterium. Its description in RNAcentral is "partial 16S ribosomal RNA". It matches the Rfam family "Bacterial small subunit ribosomal RNA", at positions 33 to 507 of the family's 1533-position model. The record is from RNAcentral.
ACGCUGGCGGCGUGCCUAAUCCAUGCAAGUCGAGCGAACGGACGAGAAGCUUGCUUCUCUGAUGUUAGCGGCGGACGGGUGAGUAACACGUGGAUAACCUACCUAUAAGACUGGGAUAACUUCGGGAAACCGGAGCUAAUACCGGAUAAUAUUUUGAACCGCAUGGUUCAAAAGUGAAAGACGGUCUUGCUGUCACUUAUAGAUGGAUCCGCGCUGCAUUAGCUAGUUGGUAAGGUAACGGCUUACCAAGGCAACGAUGCAUAGCCGACCUGAGAGGGUGAUCGGCCACACUGGAACUGAGACACGGUCCAGACUCCUACGGGAGGCAGCAGUAGGGAAUCUUCCGCAAUGGGCGAAAGCCUGACGGAGCAACGCCGCGUGAGUGAUGAAGGUCUUCGGAUCGUAAAACUCUGUUAUUAGGGAAGAACAUAUGUGUAAGUAACUGUGCACAUCUUGACGGUACCUAAUCAGAAAGCCACGGCUAACUACGUG